Molecule: long non-coding RNA, 192 nt
Organism: Oreochromis niloticus (Nile tilapia)
Lineage: Eukaryota; Metazoa; Chordata; Actinopteri; Cichliformes; Cichlidae
Exons: 3
Source: RefSeq, a predicted model, not a curated record
GCUAAUGUAAAUGUAACCUACGUUGUUGGAGAGAGAAAUAACAUCAUGGAAGAGACAUAAAAGCUGGCAAAAGCUGACGACUGUCCUUAAGCCAUUCAGGUUUGUGACUGAGCUUUUUGGAGGUGAGACAUGUGUCUCAUGUUCAGUGGUUUUACCUGCUUACUGCCACCUGCAUCACACCAUGGAGGUCUC